AUGCUUUAUAAAGAAAUUGAGUACUUGGAAUGUGUUCAGAAAACAGAAACUACAAUGAUGAGAAGAUUCAAACUUGAGUCAUUGAAAGGAAGGCCGAGUAAAUUCAAAAUAUUUUUUGUGGAUGAGAGCAGACAUGGAAAGAAGGAAAGAAGAAAUAAGCACAGACAUGAGGAGUCAUCAGCAAAAGGCCUUCUAGAGCUCCAGGUGUACUUUAUUACUUUGUGCUGAUUUUGCAACAGCCAACAUUCUUGUGGACUAAAACAGUCACUUCAAAUUCCAUUUAAUCUAAAAGCCAAAACCUCUGCCAGGGAGAGAUUAUGGCUGGAACACAGACAUUAAUAAGGUACAUAACUAGCCACAACAACAGAAGUUAAACUGUUCUUUCUCCUAGGCAUCCCUGCUAGUAUUUGUUAAAUAUUACCAUUUAAAAACUCCUAAUUUUAUAGGAAAGAAAUAUAUUUUAAUUCCUUCUUUGGUUGUGUGUAAGACUGAAUGGUUUUCUAUGUUUGUAACCUACUUAUUAUGUUAGUGACCUAGUUAUACGUCACAUACCAAAUGCCUGCCCCAUUCCCUUUAAAAUUUUGUUAAUACCCUUUGUGCAUUUUUAAUUGAAUUUUCAUUUAUAUUUCCUUUGCACAUUUGUUCAAGAUACAAAUAUUUAUUUUUUAUAUUUUAAAAUUGACAAGUAUAUAUUGCAUAUAUUUAUGGUACACAACAUGAUGUUUUGAUCUUUGUACACAUUGUGGAAUGGCUAAAUCAUAUGUAUUACCUCACAUACUUAUCAUGUUUUUGUGCUGUGAACACUUAAAAUCUACUCUUAGCAAUUUUCAACCAUACAAGAUACUCUUACUAACUAUAGUUACCAUUGAUGUACCGUAGAUCUCUUGAUGUUACUCCUCGUAACCGAAAUUUUAGGUUCUUUGACCAAUAUCUCCCCAUAGCCCUGUUCUCCAACCUCUAGUGACCACCAUUUCACUCUCUGUUUUUAUGACUUUGACUUUUUUAGGCUCCACAUAUAAGUGAGAUCAUGCAGUAUUUGUCUUUAUGUGUCUGGCUUAUUUCACUUAAUGGCCUCCUGGGUCAUCCAUGUUGUCACUAAUGACCAUGUUUCCUUAUUUUCAUGACUAAAUGUUAUACCAUUGUAUAUAUACACCACAUUUUCUUUGUCCAUUUAUCUACUGAUUGAUACUUAGAUUGAUUCCAUAUCUUGGCUAUUGUAAAUAGUGCUGCAAAAAACAUCAAAGUACAGAUGUCUCUUUGAUACACUA
RNAcentral lists this long non-coding RNA (1268 nucleotides) under Papio anubis (olive baboon). RNAcentral's name for it is "lncRNA (ENSPANG00000042838.1)". Lineage: Eukaryota; Metazoa; Chordata; Mammalia; Primates; Cercopithecidae. The record is from RNAcentral.